UUUCAAGGCGGGGUGCGAUUCCCCACCGGCGGUGAUUGCUACAGAUCAGUAUCUGCACGCAUAAGCCCGCUACCCGCAUCUUUGCGGCUGACCCGGUGCGAUUCCGGGGCCGACGGUACAGUCCGGAUGGAAGAAA
This 136-nucleotide non-coding RNA is filed under the name uncultured Collinsella sp. RNAcentral describes it as "FMN riboswitch (RFN element)". It matches the Rfam family "FMN riboswitch aptamer (RFN element)". From Rfam's summary of the family: The RFN element is a highly conserved domain that is found frequently in the 5'-untranslated regions of prokaryotic mRNAs that encode for flavin mononucleotide (FMN) biosynthesis and transport proteins. Lineage: Bacteria; Bacillati; Actinomycetota; Coriobacteriia; Coriobacteriales; Coriobacteriaceae. The record is from RNAcentral.